GAUCAGUAUUUUCACCGUUGGAUGAUAUUGAAUGUAACGCUUGAGAUUCAUUGUUCCUAUUAUUUUCUGAGAUCUGAAAGAUAUCGUGUUUGAGAAGAGGGAGAGAGAAGCGAUAAGGAAACGACGCAUAUCAUCUUCUAUCGAUGAUCUGGCCGACUCCUUUUGGCCAGCCCCUGCUCUGGUUCCGAUUCAAACUAUGGUGACAAGGCGGAGCAGUGUCGGUGGCGGCGGCAACGAAUCCCGAUUCAAACUAUGGUGGAUGACGCAGUGAAUCCCGAUUCAAACUCUGGUUCCUUUUUCAUACCAUCAGACUCCAUUCCCGAAGCUCCUUCACUCUUCUCUCUUUCUCUCGGAGAGAGUAAACCUGCCGAGUUUCUCGCCGACGUCUUGGUGGUCACUGAGUGAGUAUGACCAGUCUUGCCCUGUUAUGGAAUUAUUGACAAGUUCUUGGGAGUUUCUACUCAGCCGGGUUGGUCAUAAUUUAAUGGUUUAUCUACUACAGCACACAUCGAUAUUCUUACCGUUUCUAGGAAAGCAACACCAGCAAGUGUGGACCUCCUCUAUGUAUCGUGCUAAACGGUAAGUCCCGAGCCGAGCUUCUUCAGACCUUGUCUGAUGCUAAUGCUGAACUUUCAGAAAGAGAGGUACACAAACUUUAGCUGUGACAUCUCAGAUGAUGUAUGAGAACAAAGGCUUAAGUGGGAGAUGGCAGAGAAAGCUAGCAGUGGUGGUGUAGGCCUAAUGGAAGAAAGUAUGCUGCUCUCUCUAGUGCUUUGGGUACUUUACCUUGGGAAAAACCUCAAUCUUCUGAAUUUGAGCAAUUGGCUAGGGAAAGUGAAUGUGCGGCAUGGACACUUGCCAAUGGCUAUGCACUUAACCACAUCACUAUCUCUGUCCAUCGGCUUAAAUCUCAUCCAAACAAGAAGAAGAAGAAGAGAAGAAAGAGACAGGAAGAAGGAGACGACGGAACUGCGAUGGGAGGGAGAUCGCAGCUUAGAGCUUUAAGUUUUGGUUUAUUAGGCUUGGUUCAAUUUUUUUUGGUUUAUUUAGGUUUGGUUAAUUAGGUUUUGGUUAAUGUAUAAACUGAUUUAAUUUGUAAACAAAAUUUAAUUAAUAAAAUAAAAUAAAAUUUUUUAUUA
Molecule: long non-coding RNA, 1139 nt
Organism: Brassica napus (rape)
Lineage: Eukaryota; Viridiplantae; Streptophyta; Magnoliopsida; Brassicales; Brassicaceae
Exons: 4
Source: RefSeq, a predicted model, not a curated record